AUGGCCUCGCACCACCGCGGCCGCAUCCCCUCCUACCUCGCCACCGCCGCUGCCCUCCUCCUUGCCUUCCUCCUCCCGCCGCUGGCCGCUUCCCAGUGGCCGAACUGCGGCAAUAAGGGCAACUUCACCACGAACAGCCCCUACCAAGCAAACAUCCGGGCCCUCUCCACCACCCUUCCCAAGAACGCCUCCUCCUCGCGGACGCUCUUCGCGGCCGACAGCGUCGGCACCGUUCCGGACAUCGUCUACGCGCUCGCGCUCUGCCGCGGCGACGCCAACGCCUCCGCCUGCGGCAACUGCGUGUCCAACGGCUUCAACGACGCGCAGAAGCUCUGCCCCUACGGUAAGGACGCCGCCGUCUACUACGACCUCUGCUACGUCGGCUUCUCCAACCAGAACAUCCUCUCCGCCACCGGCGGCGGCAACAGCGUCCUCAUACUGAUGAGCGACAAUAACGUGACCGCGCCAGUGGAGGCGUUCGACGCCGCCGUGGGCGUCCUCAUGAACGCCACCGCCGAUUACGCGGCCGCGAACAACUCCAGGCGGUUCGGGACCGGGGUGGGGGGUUUCGAGACGGUCGACAAGCGGAACCCCAAGAUUUACGGUGUGGCGCAGUGCAGGCCGGACAUGGCACCGGGCGAUUGCCGGAGCUGCCUCGGAAGUAUCAUCGCGAUGAGGUCCCAGUACUUAAUCGGGAGGCAGGGUGGUAGGAUUCUUGGAUUGCGGUGCAACUACAGGUAUGAGCAGUAUUCCUUCUUCACCGGGCCUUCUAUGCUGCAGCUCCCGGCGCCAACCGUGGGGGUAGCUCCAGCUCCGGCGCCGGCGAGCGUGGGGCCACCACCAGUCGGAGGAGGUGAGCUUGGAGAAAUAACUUCAUCUUGUUUGCACGAUUCAGUCUUUAGGCCUGAAGUAAUUUCACAAUUGAGGGAAGGGUGGCGGAGUUUCUUCCCAGAUCGAAGCUCACUGUUUUACCUUCACGAAAAAGUAUAA
RNAcentral lists this ribosomal RNA (990 nucleotides) under Triticum aestivum (bread wheat). Its description in RNAcentral is "partial small subunit ribosomal RNA". Lineage: Eukaryota; Viridiplantae; Streptophyta; Magnoliopsida; Poales; Poaceae. The record is from RNAcentral.